RNAcentral lists this ribosomal RNA (486 nucleotides) under uncultured bacterium. Its description in RNAcentral is "partial 16S ribosomal RNA". It matches the Rfam family "Bacterial small subunit ribosomal RNA", at positions 29 to 507 of the family's 1533-position model. The record is from RNAcentral.
AUUGAACGCUGGCGGCAUGCCUUACACAUGCAAGUCGAACGGCAGCACGGGGGGUAACCCCUGGUGGCGAGUGGCGAACGGGUGAGUAAUAUAUCGGAACGUGUCCUGUAGCGGGGGAUAACCUAUCGAAAGAUGGACUAAUACCGCAUACGACCUACGGGUGAAAGCGGAGGACCGCAAGGCUUCGCACUAUAGGAGCGGCCGAUAUCGGAUUAGCUAGUUGGCGGGGUAACGGCCCACCAAGGCGACGAUCCGUAGCUGGUCUGAGAGGACGAUCCGCCACACUGGAACUGAGACACGGUCCAGACUCCUACGGGAGGCAGCAGUGGGGAAUUUUGGACAAUGGGCGCAAGCCUGAUCCAGCCAUGCCGCGUGAGUGAAGAAGGCCUUCGGGUUGUAAAGCUCUUUCGGCGGGGACGAAACGGUUCGUGCUAAUACCACGGACUACUGACGGUACCCGCAGAAGAAGCACCGGCUAACUACGUG